Long non-coding RNA from Puntigrus tetrazona (Sumatra barb), 2720 nucleotides. RefSeq lists it as uncharacterized. The transcript is spliced from 4 exons. The record is from RefSeq and is a predicted model, not a curated record. Lineage: Eukaryota; Metazoa; Chordata; Actinopteri; Cypriniformes; Cyprinidae.
UUACAUUCAAAAUGAGUUAUAUCAGAAAUGUUAAUCCACAUACAUACCAUCUAUGUAUAGAGGAGAGCAAGAGAGGCUGUGUAUUUGAUUAAAGCUAUGCUAAGAAUAUCAUAUACUGUCACUCAUAAUAAUACUAUGCUAUUAAUAUUGUAGUAUGCAGGCUAUGUGCCGCCUGCGAAUAUUUAUAAUAAGUCCAUGUAAUAUAAUUUGAAUUUUAUAUAUUUAAAGGUCCUUAUAAAGUCCUAUACAUACAUAUGCUUGUGUGUAUAUAUGCAUGCACAUUCACAUACUUUUAAACACCUCAAUUUGAUCAGCUUUGUAUUUGAUACAACGUUUAAUACGAUUAAAACCCCCCAAAACAUUUACAUAGCAUUUUGUAACUACUUCCUCAGGUACGUUUCGAGUCAUAGUAGUACAUAUCCGUUAGAUGGCGCUGUUGCAGACGGGUGAACUAAAGAAGUCAAUGGAAAACCGGACUAGUUUGGUAUGCAUGUCCGGCCUUUGCACAGUUACAUUUGAUCCCGUGCAUUAAUUCGAUCUGGACAAAACCAAGCCGCUAGACGCUGAAAAACCAAACACAGACUUGGAAACACAAGACAGUUAUGCAGAAUUCCUCCCCGGUAAUUGCGAAAGACAAACACGCAGGACACGUCAAGUUAAACCUGACUGAAAGCGACAGGCGUGUUUCUGGAGCCCCCACCGCCAAAGAUGUUUCCCCCUCGACGACGCUCGCGUUUCGCGCGCGCCGCGAGGGUUCAUGAAAACCCUCCCGUGUUUGUUAUUAACGACGUGCUGAGAGAAAACCGGACUCUUUAAUUAUUCAUUCGAGUCGUGUUCUUUCAUGCUAAUCAAACGCAAGUUUAGACGUUUUCUCCGCGCGCGCUAGUCCUCCAGGAUUCACCCGGGGGGUUGCGCGGCCCGCCAGGCGCUCUUUAUUGACAUAGGAAAUCCAUAUGCCUCGCAUUUCCCUUGAUGACUUCUGCAAGUGCGCGGCUCCUUCCGGUGACUCAUGCUGCACUUGUGUGGACCGGAGACUGUGGUUUUCCAUUUACCUCUGGAGCUCCGCCACGGCGUCUGCGCUGCUGUAACCCGGCACGCUUUCAAAACCAGACGGCUGCAGAAAAAGCCCUCCCUCUCAAAACAAUGGAGCCACAUCUGCCCCGGUGCAUUGUGGUACCCGGCGGUACUCUGGAAGGCUCGUUGAGCGUAAGCAGGAAAGAGGGUAAAGGAAUGCUAAGGUCACGCUUUCACGCUGAACUCUAUGCUAAUAAUCCCAGAAUGCUUUUAAAAAAGGAAGACGCGGGAAGGAAGUGGAGCAGUGAAACUCUCUCUCUCUCUGAGAGAUUUUAAGUGGUAACUUGCAUAACAAGCACCAUAAUUGCAAUGAGUGGUUUGUCUUUCUCUCUGAGUGAACAUUUCAAAGUUUAUGUCUUUAUGAAAUUGGCAUUCUGAAGCAAACCACUGCUGGGAUAUAUUCGCUGGAGUAAACAAGUGACAACCAUCCAAAUUCAUCACUGCCAUGCAGUAACGGUUGAGUAUGUCUGCAUGGCCAGCCCAUACGCUCGAUGACUCACGGUGCAGAUGAACUACCUGAAACGACGACGUUGUGGACUCCAUCCGCCGCACUGCAUGGCUUCUGGGGUUCUGCAGAGAGGGGAAUCCCGCCUAAGACGGAGCGUGCGCGAGCGUUUCUGCGACUGCGUGGAUGUUCCCGAACAGCAGACCAUUAAUGAGGAUGACUCAUCCCUAGAAACCCCACUGGAUGGGUGCGGAGUCCAAACCUUCUGCAAGUUCUGCUUAGUAAGACUUCACUGGCCUUCUUCUAAUGAGCUGCGGUGGAACCAGCUCCAGCAAACCCAACGGUCCACCCUAUCAGGAAGUAAUCACCACUCUAAUCAGCCAUAAAGAUGAUGUCUCAGCAUAGACAACAGGUGCAAUGUAGCUGAUCGGUAUUCCGGUGGGACGAGACUUCUUUCCCAGAGAGAAUGCAUGGUAAGCAGUUCACCAUCAGACCUGAUGUGAGCCCUGGAGUGAUUACAUUCAAAUGUAUUCAGAAAAUCCACAUGAGAAGGAUGAACAGUGACUCAACGUCAAUAUACGCUGAAAUCCGCAAAGAGUACAUGGAGAUUAAACCAGAACACAUGGCUUGUUUGCUUUAUGCUUUUUGAUAAGCUGAGACAUUGAUUAAAGUGCUCCAUAUCCAUUGAUAUUCAGUGAAAACGUAAGGCAAAUGCAAACAAAUGUUAUCCAUUCCUAAUAUACACAGUACAUCCACAGACGUACAGCUAUUUUUAAAUAAGGCAUUAAAGCAUGUUAUUGACGCUUCUUGCAUUUUCCUUUUUUUAAAUUCUCUUUGGAUUAAAGUCUAGUUUUAAAGUUGCAACUACCUUUUUUGCAUUUAUCCACAUUAGUUUCAAACCAAUAAAUGUUUGUUUGUCUGUUAGAUGUCUUAAAGAUAAGCCCUACCAGUUGUGAGGUUCGUCCUGUUUGUAUAUUUUAUGUUUAUUGCUGUGAUUUUAAUGCUUGAAGGCAAAUCUUUGUUGUUGUUUUUUUAAAUUAGCCCUACAAGGACCCACAUAGACAUUUGUCCAUUUGAUCUUAAUACUCCAUCCUGGUCACAUCUUAGCUGUUUAGUACUGUGACUUUUUUUGUUUGAAUUGAUCAACAUUUGUUGCAGGUAAAUAAAUCUUUGGCAUGUAUUUCUUUUAUGCCUUUUUAAG